This 252-nucleotide ribosomal RNA is filed under the name uncultured bacterium. RNAcentral describes it as "partial 16S ribosomal RNA". It matches the Rfam family "Bacterial small subunit ribosomal RNA", at positions 524 to 775 of the family's 1533-position model. The record is from RNAcentral.
UACGUAGGGUGCAAGCGUUAAUCGGAAUUACUGGGCGUAAAGCGUGCGCAGGCGGCUUUGCAAGACAGAUGUGAAAUCCCCGGGCUUAACCUGGGAACUGCAUUUGUGACUGCAUGGCUGGAGUGCGGCAGAGGGGGAUGGAAUUCCGCGUGUAGCAGUGAAAUGCGUAGAUAUGCGGAGGAACACCGAUGGCGAAGGCAAUCCCCUGGGCCUGCACUGACGCUCAUGCACGAAAGCGUGGGGAGCAACAGG